Molecule: non-coding RNA, 178 nt
Organism: Oryza meridionalis
Lineage: Eukaryota; Viridiplantae; Streptophyta; Magnoliopsida; Poales; Poaceae
Source: Rfam
CUUGGGAAGAGGAAGAAAGAGAGGCUCCAAGAGCAGUGGGAUUGGGAACAUAUGAGAAAGCAUGAGCUCUCUCUGUCCAUCCCCUCCCAUUUGUUGGAGGUGGAGAUUUCGCUCUUAUGUUUUCUCGAUGCCUCCCAUUCCUAUCGUUCUUGGAACCUCCUUCCUCUUCCUUUUUUUA